Molecule: ribosomal RNA, 103 nt
Filed under: Clostridium botulinum
Lineage: Bacteria; Bacillati; Bacillota; Clostridia; Eubacteriales; Clostridiaceae
Description: partial 23S ribosomal RNA
Rfam family: Bacterial large subunit ribosomal RNA
Source: RNAcentral
AAUUUUAAGGUCAAGCUACAAAGGGCGCAUGGUGAAUGCCUUGGCACUAGGAGCCGAAGAAGGACGCGAUAAGCUGCGAUAAGCCUUGGGUAGCCGCAAAUAG